UGAGGUGGCAAACGACCUGUGACCCGGACAUCUCUGAAUGGGGAAACCCACUCAUCACAAGAUGAGUAUCUUGCGCUGAAUCCAUAGGCGUAAGAGGCGAACCAGGGGAACUGAAACAUCUAAGUACCCUGAGGAAAAGAAAUCAACCGAGAUUCCCCUAGUAGCGGCGAGCGAACGGGGACCAGCCCUUAAGCAUGUGACUGAUUAGGCGAAUACGCUGGGAAGCGUGGCCAUAGUGGGUGAUAGCCCCGUAGCCGAAAAUCUGAUCAUGUGAAAUCGAGUAGGUCGGGGCACGAGAAACCUUGACUGAAGACGGGGGGGACCAUCCUCCAAGGCUAAAUACUCCUGGCUGACCGAUAGUGAACCAGUACCGUGAGGGAAAGGCGAAAAAGAACCCCGGAGAGGGGAGUGAAAUAGAUCCUGAAACCGUGUGCGUACAAGCAGUAGGAGCGGACUUGUUCCGUGACUGCGUACCUUUUGUAUAAUGGGUCAGCGACUUAUAUUCAGUGGCGAGGUUAACCGUAUAGGGGAGCCGUAGGGAAACCGAGUCUUAACUGGGCGACACAGUCGCUGGAUAUAGACCCGAAACCGAGCGAUCUAUCCAUGAGCAGGGUGAAGGUUGAGUAACAUCAACUGGAGGCCCGAACCAGGAUCUGUUGAAAAAGAUUUGGAUGACUUGUGGAUCGGAGUGAAAGGCUAAUCAAGCUCGGAGAUAGCUGGUUCUCCUCGAAAGCUAUUUAGGUAGCGCCUCACGUAUCACCGCCGGGGGUAGAGCACUGUUUCGGCUAGGGGGUCAUCCCGACUUACCAACCCGAGGCAAACUCCGAAUACCGGUGAGUGCCAG
This 844-nucleotide non-coding RNA is filed under the name Halomonas sp. SUBG004. RNAcentral describes it as "bacterial LSU rRNA". It matches the Rfam family "Bacterial large subunit ribosomal RNA", at positions 82 to 975 of the family's 2925-position model. Lineage: Bacteria; Pseudomonadati; Pseudomonadota; Gammaproteobacteria; Oceanospirillales; Halomonadaceae. The record is from RNAcentral.